GCCCCCGCACCACCCCUCGCACGCUGUCCGCGCCCCACCCCGGCGCGACCGGAGGAGGCUGCGCGGUCGCUGAGGGCUGCGACUCCUGCCACCCUCACCUGGGACCACAACUUUCUUCCCCUUCGUCUGGGGACCGCGACCCCUACCCCUUCGCCCUGGACUUCCACCCCCACUCCGUCUUUGCCCGGGACCCCGGCCCCGCCCCCUCGCCCCGGGUCCCCGCCCUAUCUGGCGGUCCGCUUGGUGGGGUCGGGAGAGCCGCUCGAGCGCGCUCGCAAGAAGGGAGAAGGCGGUGUCGCCUGUCAGUGGAGCGGAUGCCCUGGGUUGCUGUCGACCAGCAACAGUCUCUGGAUUUGAAGGGAAAUGCUGAAGACUCAGGACGUCUUCCCAAACACGAGCAUGUGCCACCCAUCCCAACCCAUUCUUGGCGGGGGCGGGGGGAGAUUAGAGUAAAUUACGGUCACCUCCUGUAAGCUUGCUGCCUGACUUCCUGUAUCCCUGCUCCGGUUGGUUGUUGAUUAUAGACGUACGUACGAACUGGAAAGGCUUCUCUCUCUGGGACACUGUCCAGUUUUCUGCGUGCACCUGUGUUUCUUACCUGUUCCUUUCGAGGUAUCCAAAUGCCGACAGGACUGCGCUUCGGACUUAGACGUCUUGACUGGGAAGAUCAUAUAUUGCCAUCUGUGUUCGGCGCCUUCUGCUUUGGCCUACGUUGUCACAUACUCGCUCUGAGAAACUUGCAUGUUCAAAAUGCUAUUCACAGCAAUGUCUUUGAAGAUAAUCACGUAAGACUGAGGUUUCCUCUGAUGUUGAAAGCACAUACACGUUUCAGGGGGAAAGUCAUAUUGUAGAGUUCGCUUUCCCAGAAAACCUCUUGGGUGUAGUGUGACCCUUCUCAGCUGCCUCCAGUUUGAACCUCUCGGCCUGAGGUGUCUACCCUUGGCCCAGAGAAUAGUCCAGAGGCCCAGCGAUGUGGUCCACCUUUGAAAGACCGUGAAGUCUCCAAAGCUGACCAGACUGAGCAUCAAGAGAAGAACUUUGAAGUGAAACCCGGAAGCUCAACGGGAAGAAGGAGGGCAAAGGAAAUGAAAACCAGAGAUUUGAGAAGAAAGACCGGAAACUUGGCAGUGCCCUCUCCAAGCCAGGCCAGCAGUUUUAUUGCAGGCCGUCUGCGUUCCAGGCCUAUAAAAAUUCCUUUUGUCACUUGUAGUGAACUCUUGGCAAGUUGUGUGUGUGAUGCCACAGCUGUUAAACCCAGGGAAGGAGACGUAAAGGGGAAGAAAUUACUGCGAUUUUUGGCUCUAAUGCAAGAAUGGUUCAACAUACAAAGAUUCAUCCAUGCAGUAUCACACAUUAACCUGACGAAUGGUUCAACCCUGCUGGAUCAUCUCAGAUGACGCGGAAAAACGCCUUUGACAGCGUGCGGUCCCAUUUGAUGAUAGAAAUACUGCCUGCUCAGGUCCCAGGUCACAGCUGAGGGUGCUCUGAGGGCGCCUGCUCUGCACACAACCUGCACUCGAGACUCGGGACUGUGUACCUCUCUCCGGUGGACACACCAGCACCUCUGAAAAUUUACGUCUGCUUUUACGAUGGGCUGUAGACGAAACAGCAGGUCACCUGUGGGCUGAGCGCCACUUCCCCGAGGGGAUGGACGGGAGGGGGAGGGAAGUGCAUCCCCCCACCCCCGACUCUGUUCAAAGCUGCGGUCUCCAGGGAUGGAAGUACUGUCUGGAUCUCGAGUGGGUGCGAAAUGCUGUGACGUGUCGGUGCCUGGACCCUGCCCUUGCCUCAGAAUCAAGGUCCCAGUACCUCGUCUCCAGCCCCCCAUGGCUGCAGCAGGCCAUUGACCUGGGCGGCCCUGGAGACGCUUUGGGCUCAGAAUGUGAGCAGGGGGGCUGUGACGAGGCGGUGGUGCCGGGGCUCGAGUGUCUGGUUGAUUCGGGUCAUAUCCCAGGUAGGUGCGUUCGCGUGGUUCACUCAAGGAUGCAGCUUCCUGGAGACCCAGAGGCCCCCGCCUUUCGGGGGCGGGGGGGGGGGGGUCCGAGGCUUGGUCCCAUUGCCAGGGACCGCUCUGGAAACUGGACAUUCGACCCAAUCCAGGUGGCAGCACAAGAAGCCAUUCUGUCCCCAGCUCUUGCUGGAGAAAGGACAGCUUGCUGGACGCGGCCCUUGAGUCUUCAUUUCCCAGACUUGGGGAAGUGGCUUGACUCCCGGGGACAAGGCCCCUGCUGCUUUCCUUGUCUCGGUGCUGGAAGCGCGGGGCACAUGGAGAAGCAGAGCCUCCCCUUCGGCGUGCUCUGGGCUUUGGGCUGGAAGCUCGCAGGACGGAGAGAGGGUUUCCAGCAAUGACACUGUGUCCGGGUGGGUGCGGGUGGGCUGGCGCUGUGCCCACACGCCUGGCAGAGCUCUCAGCCUGCGGGACCCUCCUCCCGUCGGGCGCCUAGACCCUACAGCACCUGCUUCUGGCCAUAACUUUCUCUGGCCUCUUGUUCUUUUCUUACUUGCCUUUGUCCUGGUUUUUUAAUAUUUCAUAUGCUCUCUUUUUCCAGUAGAUUAUAUUUUGUCCAGUCCUCAGGCCAUACCUCUGUACAUAAGAAAAUUAAAUAAUGCUGACAGGUGCAACAGGUGUUGUUCUUGAGUCGGGUCCUGUGGGUUACCAUUCUUGUUCUGGCACCUGCCAGCGAGUCACCUCAAUUCCCUGAUUUGCGAGAGGGCAUAAUUAUGGGGUUAGCAUCAGGACUAAAUGAGACACUCACUAAUCAUAGGACUGACCUGCAGGUCAAGUGCAGUACCCCCUCCAGCAGGACAGAAGGUUUCGUAAAGGGCAGAUGGCAUGCCACGGGCAUUGUCAGUGUGAAGGGCUCCUGGUCAGCAGGUGUGGAUUGGAGUUGGGCUCAACCCUUGCCAGUGGGCCCCCCUGUAAGAGCCGCACAGCCUCUGUGAAGUCUGUUCAGAGGAAUACAGCGUAUUUCGUAGGAUUUGGGGGACUGCAUCGGAGAAGAUCCGCAAAGCAUUUAGCAAAGUGCCAGGAGUGCCAAGUGCCCGGUGCCAGCAUCCUCUUCCGUCCUUCCUUCUCCGCAGCAGGAUCGGGGUUCGUGCCUGGACCCCAGCGCCUGCGCCCCAAGUCUCACUCCGCAGACACCAGAGACUCUGCAGAGAGUGGUCAGCGCCUUGACGUGAGUGGGUCCUGGGUCCAAGGACCGCCAGCUCACCCUCCUGCACAGUGAGGGCGGGAAAGGACAUAUCCGCACAGGGGAGGCUCCGGCUGGCCAAGCGGGUCCUCAGCGGGGGCUGCUCAGAUCCUGGCCCUGGAGCCAGCCAGCUCCCAGACCCCUGGGGGCAAGGCCGGGCCCAGGCGGAUCUCGGGACUCCAGCCCAACAGGCUGGGGGUGAAGGCCAAAUGCCAGCCCUGGGCCGGAGCCAGAGUGCUGGGCGAGAAAAGCAGAGCUGAGGCCCGAGCUUCCCGAGACCAGGUCGGGGGUGGGGGUGCAGGUCCUGCGGGGAAGGGAAGUGCAGGAAGGCGGGGGGUUCCAGGCCUGGGCGCGGGGUGCAGGCCCUCCAGGGGAGGCAGUGCCUGGGUUAAACUCUUCUCUUUGAUGGUAUUGGACAGGCAGGUAGCUAACAGCUUGGUGAAGUGUUAAGAAUAAGAGCAAGGGCUUCUUCACAGUCAUUUAAAAGAACUAUUUACUCUCAAAAAACAGACUUACAUAAACUUCCAGGAGAAAGCCCAGAACACCGGGAUUUGGAGGUAAUUAUUUAUGACCUGUAUCUUUAAAAAGUAUUAAUCUGUCAAAAAAAUCAAAAUGUGUCUACUGACACUUUAAAAACAUGUGUCAAAAUUGCUGUUUUUAAGCCAUCUCGUGUUUCAGUUCUGAUUCUGUUUUGGAAAAGGAUGUUUAAGGAGCCACCACAGUGGCGGCUUUGGCGGAGACACACGUGGACACAGAUCCCACAAGUACGUGAGAUCACACAGGGUUUGUCUUUCUCUGACUUCUGCCCUCAAGGUCCACUGCAGAGCUGGUCCUGAGCAGAGUGACGAGGGGGCAGCCCGGUUUCACCUGGCUGGAGAGAGGGGACUCCCAGGAAUUGACCCUGAGCCUGGGGACCACUGCACCACGCGUCCCUUUCCUCUGCUGGAACCAUAAGGCAGCGCCGAGCAGAACAACGACUGGUCCAGAGGACGGGAAGUGACCAGAGCUGGCGACACGGACACAGCCCAGCCAUGCUUGCCUGCAGGGUUGACCUUGAGUGAUGUUCCGCUUUCUUCCUCGUUCUCUUCUGUUUUUCCGUAGUAAAUGCAUGUGCUUCCUCUUCAGGGGAAGGAAAUACUGCAAAAAAAAAGAAGCAUCUCAGAUGUGGGAUCUUUAAGACGUGUGUUCUGCCUGUUGAGCAGGUGCUUGGGGUUUGCUGGACCGAUGAAGUGUGGUCAGUUUCUGCAAGGGUCUGGACUUGUUUCCCGCAGCCCUGGCAGUGGCCGUGUGGUGGCUGAGCAGACAGAACCAACGCCCGUGGGUGUUUGGCCAGCUGGCCCUGGCCUCCCACUAGGCCGUCAAAGACGCCUUCUGGAACUGGCGGCCACCUUGGCCCACUCGUUAUCCAGCAGGAUAAUAAAUGCAGACAGCAGAGCAAGUAAGGCUUCCUGAGGUCCCACCUGGGGGCCCUGUCCAAGGGACUCUGUCCUGGGGGGUCUGUCACGCUCACUGCCCCCCCCCCACAGGCAUCUCUGGUUGAUACUCAGCUGCUGCCCCUGCUUCCUGGAGCAGGAGGGCUUGGGGAAGGGGACCCCGAGCCCCUUGUCCCGAGCGCCCCAGUGCAGGGAGGGCAGCAGGCAGCGGAGGACGGGGCAGGAGGCAAGAGGACGGCCACCUGGGCCCUGAGGAGGGACCCAGGCCGGGGAGCCUGGUGGCGGAAUUGGGGAGCCCAGCCAGCCACCCCAGGAGUGCAGGCUGAGUCCUCUGGUGCCCUCUCUUAAACAACUGGAAGAAGCAGGUAAGUCCCUCAAUGCAUUCUUGUGACCCAAGAGACUAAGACGUCUUAGCCUGUGAUCAGCCCACCGGACUGAUGCGGUCUCCUGCCCUUUACACUAAUCCUCCACCCCAGGUGCCUUUCCACACUCGGCUCCCCGGCGCCCAGUCACCACCGCCCAGUGCCGCAGGCCCCUGGGGCACAAGGAGCAGGGCGCGUACUGUGUGGUUGAUGUGGGUGGUGUGUGGGGGUCAGGGGAGAUCCUGCAGGGGGGUCCAGGCCCAGCCUCUGCCCUCACUGUGAGCACUACACGCCCACGGCAUCUGCUGGGGCCCGGGGGCCAGGACUAAAGUUCCUGGAGCCCUGGCACCCCUGACCCCUGCGGAGCCUCCUCUUCUGGGGACCUUGUGCUGCACCUGCAACUUCCUUGUUCAGUUCAUCAUUUCUCCUGCUCUUGGACUGAGGUGUGUGUCUAACCCCAUGACACACACAUCCACCCUCUCCUGUUUUUAGACUAGACUGUUAGCAGGCCUCAGCCGUGGACGUGGACGUGCGACGUCCGGUGCAGAGGGUCCUCGUCCUGGGCGUAAAAGGGCGUGGGCGGCGGGGUGAGCCGGCCCUGGGAGCCCUGUGCUUCCGGGGACUGGCUGCCGGCUGGCUCUGCACCGAGUCAACAAGCAGGACAAGUCCGGGGCCCGGAGAGGCCUCCACCCAUCACCCCAGGAAAGGCCCAGUGCCGCCCCGUCCUGGAGCCGCGGCCUGGAUGUUGGCACCAGGUGUCCCCUCUGACUGCUCUGCUGGUGGCGAGGAGAUCAGAACACGGGUUGGGGAGGCACAGAACUGCCCGCAGGGCGCGGGGCCCGCGCCGCCACGGGCUGGGGGAGGGGCCGGCGGAAGGGAAGCCCCGCCCCCGCGUCCCGGGAGCCGGCGGUUCCGAGUCCGAGUCGGGAGCCGGCCGGGAGCCUCCGGGACGAGCGCCGCGGAGGGGCGGGCUCCCCAGGCGCAGGCUCGCUGGAGAGCCUCCGCCCGGCUCGGUGCCGCGCGGCCCCAGCGGCCGGAGCUGCGAGGCCGGGGUCGGGGCCGGGGAGAUGCGUCCGCCGACCCUGCGGCCUCCGCGGGGGCCUCCCAGCGCCCCCCCCCCCCCGGCCUCCAGAGCUCAGAUCGGACUAGGAAGCAGGGUUUGUCCGCAGCGGCAAAUGCAACGGGGCAGUUUCCACGGCUCACGUUGGUGUUUUCAGCCUGGCGCUGGCCUCUCAGUGACAGCAGCACAGCCAGACCUGCGGAGGAUUUCGGGGGGCUCCCUGACCGCGCCGCAGCCUACUCCGGGGGCCCAGCUUCUGCUGCCGAAACGCUCCCCGCGGAGGGCUUGGCCUCAUUCCGCCGAGUCUCCGCGGGACUCCCAGUGAGAAAAGAAAUGCUCCUCAGUGCCUCUUCCCUCUUGUGAAACGCUUCCUUCUGCUCAGGGGACACGUGUGACCUGUGCACGUGGGGGGCUUUUGUGCACUUGUGCCCACGGCACUGCGAUGGGUCCUUAGUGUGAUUGUCUCUGCAGGGCCAGAGUCAGGCCGCUGCUGCUCUUCAGUGAGAUCAGUGCUGCCCGGCAGGGGCCGCUAGCAAUGUUCUGACAAGUCCUGCAGACUCUGCCAAGACAGCAGGAGCCCAGGCCUCACGGAUCUCCAGGUGGAAAUCUGAAGCUGUGGGUAGAGGGGGUCCUGCUGUGGUGGGGGGGGAGCCACCUGCUCCUGGGGCACCCACAGCCCAGCCCCCCCAAAGGAAGAGGCUCUGAGAAGGCCCUUCUGCCUCCUGCCUUCCUUCCUCCUUCCACCUGGCUGCCCCCAUGCCUGGCCGUAGGCGCAGGGCCAGGGGCUGGCACACCACACCCACCAAUAGGCUUGGCAUGCAAUGCAGAUUCCUUACCUAAAACAAACCAACACUCACACCUUUAUAUCCAAUCCGACUACCUUUUUCCAUAUUGUCUUGUUGGCAAUUGUGUCUUUUUUUUUUUUGGUCUAUUAAAACCAUCAUUUUUUCCUCACCCUCUAAGCUAAAUCAUUAUUUCAGUUCCUAACCUUUGCAAAUACUCUGCUUCCUGUACAAUAGGGAUCAUUGUGUGUCCUCAGCAGCAGCCUGGCAGAAACACGGAACCACACGCCUGUGUCAGCUUAGUGACUCAGCAAACGGAGAGGCUCUGCUUCCACCGGGGCCCCUCCAGCCGGCCCAUGGGUUGGGUGGUGCUUCCUGGCCCUGCGGCUGUACCCUGACCCUGUUGGGUGCCAUGGCCGCUGGUAGGGGUGGGCGGCCCGCUCUGACCUCAGACCCCAUCCAGAAGCGCCUGCUGCCAUGCAGCAUGGGAAGCCCCCCGCCCCUCGCCCUGUACUUGGUUAGAGAAAGAUCUGGAAGAUACGCAACUGGAAAACAAGGUGUCGCUGGUGGUGAGGAGUUGCUGGCAGGCGAGUACCAUGCCCAAGGCGGGGAGGAAGAGCGUCUAGACUGAAAGUAAACGCACUACCUAAAAGGCGAGAAUGAGUCGUAGCUGAUGGACAAAACUGAGGCCAAGCCCAGGACACAGCCUCUCAGGGGCCCUUAGGGAGGCUCCAAAGAGGUCAGAGAGGAGCCGGAUCCACAGGAGUUUUUGCAACAAAAACCAUGUAGUCGGAACAUCAAAAGAUUAGUUAGAGAAAACCAGGCAUUUCAAGUGAAGGAGUGCAGCGCUUUUUUGUGUGGGGGGAGCUGUGGGUCUGGCUCCCGAAGUCAUUCCUGGACGUGACCCCUCGCCCCCCAGGGCCAGGGUCCUGUGCCUUCCCUGCCUGAGUCCCUGGGAGUGCUGUGGGGACACUGUGGUGGCUUGAUGGCUGCAGCAUCCUUUGUUGACUCACAUGACAGGCGACACUCCUCACUCACAGUGUCGUAAUGACUGGACCUGACAGGCAGUGUGAGCAGGGCUUCCUCCGCCAGCCCCAGAGACUGGUGCGGGAAAGCACGUGGCCGCUGCGGGACCUGCGACGGGAGCCAUCAGAACCCAGUGACUGAGGGCUGUGCCCACGCCUGCAGAGCAUCCUGUGGGCCGGGACCCAGGCACACACUAUAAUGAGAAGAGGAAACUGAUGCUCAGAAAGGCUGAGUCAUUUACCCGGGGCCACACAGCCGAAGGACACUGAAUUCAGAUGCAGGUGGCCAGGCUGUUAUACCCGCUCCAGUGCCCCCGGCCCGGCCCCGGCUGUGCUGCGGCAGCACUGAGGGAAGAGACGCUGGAAACCAGCACUAGCCUCCUUGGUCCUGGUCCCUGGAUAUACUCAGAACUCGUUCUCUCGUGGCUUUUCUACCUGGUCCUGCCUCUUUACAGCGGGACCCACAUUUCUCGACUAGUCUGUCUUGAACAGUCCUCGUUAACCCAUCCGGCUGCGUUUCCUGACCACGGGGCUGCCAGGUACACCGCUGGCACCAGGACGUCCAGCUGGCCUGGCUCACGGUGUGGUCCCGUUUGCAAGAGGAGGAGGUGAGGAUGUGGCCCCAAAUGGUGGGGCCAUCAGCUAAGACUCUUUCUCGCCUUUUAGCCCCUGCCCUGGGGCUGCCGUCACUUGCCUCCCUCAGUCCUGGCACAGAGGGGAGGGCCACUGUCACCACCAGCAGCAUGACGCUCCCAGACCAUUAAGACGCUGUCGCGGCUGGGCUGGCCCCCAGCUGGCCGCCUGCCUCCCCAGCAGAAGCUGACUCGGCUUCUUCACAGGGCAGGGUUCUGCCCCCCACCCGGGACGAUGGGACCCCAUUUCCUCGUUCUGCAGAGGCCCUCGGCCCUGCCCGUCUCCCGGCUGUCUCUCCAGCCCCCGCCUCUCAUUCAAUUCCAGUCGCCACCUGGGUGCCCGGGGCCAGAUCUGCCUCCAGAACCGAAGGCCUCCAUCCUAAGCCUCGUGCCUGAACAGCUCCCAGGGCUUGUAUGAAUCUUGUUGAUUUAUCCCUAAAAUAUCUCAGUGUUUGGUGCUAAUUAAAUGGUCCUGUGUCUUUAAUCCUAACACUGGGUUUUAGGUUGGUUGCUUGGUUGUUCGGCCCUACCAGUGACACACAGAAGUUCCCAGGUCAGGGAUCAAAGCCCUGCCACAGCCGCGAAACCAGAGCCACAGCAGAGACGACACGGAUCCUUGAAUCCUGAGCCAACCGUUGUUUAAUCUGUACCUCUUCUCACUGUUCUGUUCAUUCUUGCCCCCGGUUUGACGUUUUGGUCUUUUCACUGCCCACUUGUGUUUUGUCUUCUAAGUCAUUCAUUUCUCCUUCUUCAUUUUAUUUGUUCUUUUACUUUAUUUUGCUGUUAUUUUAAAAUUUGUUACAGUGGAUGCUUAGCUCAUCGAUUUCAGUCUUUCAUGUAGAAUUUUUAUCAUUUAGUUAAGAGAUUUUCCUAGUUUUCACAGUAAUUUCUUCUUUGAUCCAUAAUGUAUUUGGAAACGAGUUCUUAUAAUUUCCUAGCACUUGAAUAUUUCGAGUAUUUUGUUAUCAUUUCUAGUUAAUUUUCCUGUGCUCCAAUAAUCCGAUUUAUGAUAGAGAUGGGUGGGGGUGUGAUUUCACAUGCUCGAGCUGCCCGAGUGUUUCCUGUGUGCUGGAAAGGAGCACGUUCUCCGGAUCCUGGGCGCGGUGACACGCGUGUCGCAGUGACACGCGUGCCUCCCCUGAGUGGAUUUGUUGUUGGUUCCAGUUGUCUGUCUGUGUCCUGUGUUCCCACGUGUGCUUUUUAUCUGCCGCUUAGUGGGGGAUGAAUUUCUCUUUGGACUUCUGCCAGUUCUGCAUUCUGUAUUUCCAGUUAUGCCACCGGUUCAUAUUCUGAAAUGACCUUCUUUGUGAAUUGAACAUUGUAAUUAUUGAUAUGUUUGCAUUUAAAUCUACAGUAUUGCUUGUGACUU
This is a long non-coding RNA of Sus scrofa (pig), 9854 nucleotides long. RefSeq lists it as uncharacterized. NCBI's taxonomy places the organism in Eukaryota, Metazoa, Chordata, Mammalia, Artiodactyla, Suidae. The record is from RefSeq and is a predicted model, not a curated record.